Molecule: ribosomal RNA, 293 nt
Filed under: uncultured bacterium
Lineage: Bacteria
Description: partial 16S ribosomal RNA
Rfam family: Bacterial small subunit ribosomal RNA
Source: RNAcentral
GUGCCAGCCGCCGCGGUAAUACGUAGGGUCCGAGCGUUGUCCGGAUUUAUUGGGCGUAAAGAGCUCGUAGGCGGCUCGGUAAGUCGGAUGUGAAAACUCGGGGCUCAACCCCGAGACGCCAUCCGAUACUGCCGUGGCUUGAGUCUGGUAGGGGAACACGGAAUUCCUGGUGUAGCGGUGAAAUGCGCAGAUAUCAGGAGGAACACCAAUGGCGAAGGCAGUGUUCUGGGCCAGUACUGACGCUGAGGAGCGAAAGCGUGGGUAGCAAACAGGAUUAGAUACCCUCGUAGUCC